This 240-nucleotide unclassified non-coding RNA is filed under the name soil metagenome. RNAcentral describes it as "partial contains 5.8S ribosomal RNA, internal transcribed spacer 2, and large subunit ribosomal RNA". The record is from RNAcentral.
AAGACUAUAGACCUGCGGAGUACCUGCGGAAGGAUCAUUAAAGAGAAAACUGCCCUUUGGGUAGAUCUCCCACCCUUUGUUUAUAUUACCUUUGUUGCUUUGGCAGGCCCGUCUCUGACCACCGGCUCUUUGGCUGGUCUGUGCCUGCCAAGAGACCUCCAACUCUUGAUUUGAAGUUGUCCAAGUCUUAUAUAAUAGUAAAAACUUUUAACAACGGAUCUCUAGAUCGGAAGAGCACAC